RNAcentral lists this non-coding RNA (21 nucleotides) under Caenorhabditis elegans. The record is from RNAcentral. Lineage: Eukaryota; Metazoa; Nematoda; Chromadorea; Rhabditida; Rhabditidae.
UGGAACUAAAUGUUGUUUUUU